RNAcentral lists this small RNA (94 nucleotides) under Tursiops truncatus (common bottlenose dolphin). RNAcentral's name for it is "7SK RNA (ENSTTRG00000024925.1)". It matches the Rfam family "7SK RNA", at positions 6 to 101 of the family's 331-position model. From Rfam's summary of the family: 7SK was discovered as an abundant small nuclear RNA in the mid-70s but a possible function has only recently been suggested. Two independent studies have found that 7SK RNA binds the CDK9/cyclin T complex (known as elongation factor P-TEFb). The record is from RNAcentral. Lineage: Eukaryota; Metazoa; Chordata; Mammalia; Artiodactyla; Delphinidae.
UGAGGGCAGUCUGGUUAACAUCUGUCACUCCAUUGCUUGUCAGGAUUAUUUUAGCUGGUGUGUCUGACUGGGCAGGUGUCCCCUCUCUCCCUCA